UACAGAGGUCUCAAGCGUUGUUCGGAUUCAUUGGGCGUAAAGGGCGCGCAGGUGGCUCCGUAUGUCUGCCGUGAAAGCAUACAGCUCAACUGUAUUGUGUCGGUAGAAACUGCAGGACUUGAGGCUGGGAGGGGCUGGUGGAAUUCCCUGUGUAGCGGUGAAAUGCGUAGAGAUGGGGGAGAACACUCGUGGCGAAGGCGGCCAGCUAGACCAGUUCUGACACUGAGGCGCGACAGCGUGGGGAGCAAACAGG
This 253-nucleotide ribosomal RNA is filed under the name uncultured bacterium. RNAcentral describes it as "partial 16S ribosomal RNA". It matches the Rfam family "Bacterial small subunit ribosomal RNA", at positions 524 to 776 of the family's 1533-position model. The record is from RNAcentral.